This 200-nucleotide ribosomal RNA is filed under the name uncultured bacterium. RNAcentral describes it as "partial 16S ribosomal RNA". It matches the Rfam family "Bacterial small subunit ribosomal RNA", at positions 8 to 197 of the family's 1533-position model. The record is from RNAcentral.
AGAGUUUGAUCCUGGCUCAGGACGAACGCUGGCGGCGUGCUUAAUACAUGCAAGUCGAGCGGGCACCAUCCGGUGGAAACGCCGGUGAAGUGCGAGCGGCGAACGGGUGAGUAACACGUGAGCAACCUGCCCCCAAGUCUGGGAUAAGCCUGGGAAACCGGGUCUAAUACCGGAUGCCCUCGUCAAGCCGCAUGGCAUCA